Long non-coding RNA from Xenopus tropicalis (tropical clawed frog), 242 nucleotides. RefSeq lists it as uncharacterized. The transcript has 2 exons. NCBI's taxonomy places the organism in Eukaryota, Metazoa, Chordata, Amphibia, Anura, Pipidae. The record is from RefSeq and is a predicted model, not a curated record.
UAGAAUUACAUUAUCUGCACCAAAGAUGGACAACUGGAAAAGCAUGACAGAUGCUGGGAUGCUGGGAGUUAUAGCUGACUGACACCUAGAGGGCAGCACUGUGGCUCAUUGCCACUACACUGAGUCAUUUCAUCAGUGCUACUUGACCUCAAGAAGACAGAUGAUAUUUCCUGAAGGAAAAACAUGGAGUGAAAGUGCAAGUCAAGCACUGCUACUGCCUAAUAAACAUUCUUUUGCAAUAA